AUUCCAUGGUUUGGGCAUUUCGAUGAACCUUUCUCAUGCUUUUUAGAGACAUUCUAAAUUUUCCUGUUGAAAUAUGGAGAUCUUAUGCUUUAGUUU
RNAcentral lists this small nucleolar RNA (96 nucleotides) under Olea europaea subsp. europaea. Its description in RNAcentral is "Plant small nucleolar RNA R71". It matches the Rfam family "Plant small nucleolar RNA R71". From Rfam's summary of the family: R71 is a member of the C/D box family of snoRNAs containing the C (UGAUGA) and D (CUGA) box motifs. The record is from Rfam by way of RNAcentral. Lineage: Eukaryota; Viridiplantae; Streptophyta; Magnoliopsida; Lamiales; Oleaceae.